Schizosaccharomyces pombe (fission yeast) is the source of this 205-nucleotide non-coding RNA. Lineage: Eukaryota; Fungi; Ascomycota; Schizosaccharomycetes; Schizosaccharomycetales; Schizosaccharomycetaceae. The record is from the annotation of a GenBank genome assembly.
GAAGGAAAAUGUAAAAGAAAAGCAUCUGGAUUUGUUAAAGUUAUGCAGAACAAGUAGGCAUGAAAAAUGUAGACUUCAGACGAACUAGUGAAUGUCGAGAAGAAGCAAAAGAGAAAAGGACAAGAUGCGAAAUAUUAGGACAAAAACAAAGAAUGGUAAUAAUAAGUAUGCGGAAGAUUAAAGCAGAAACUUCCAACAAACUGGA